This 443-nucleotide ribosomal RNA is filed under the name uncultured bacterium. RNAcentral's name for it is "SSU rRNA". It matches the Rfam family "Bacterial small subunit ribosomal RNA", at positions 26 to 518 of the family's 1533-position model. The record is from RNAcentral.
AGAGCGAACGCUGGCGGCAGGCUUAACACAUGCAAGUCGAGCGCCCCGCAAGGGGAGCGGCAGACGGGAGAGUAACACGUGGGAACGUACCUUUCGGUUCGGAACAACCCAGGGAAACUUGGGCUAAUACCGGAUACGUCCGUAAGGAGAAAGAUUUAUCGCCGAAAGAUCGGCCCGCGUCUGAUUAGCUAGUUGGUGAGGUAACGGCUCACCAAGGCGACGAUCAGUAGCUGGUCUGAGAGGAUGAUCAGCCUCACUGGGACUGAGACACGGCCCAGACUCCUACGGGAGGCAGCAGUGGGGAAUAUUGGACAAUGGGCGCAAGCCUGAUCCAGCCAUGCCGCGUGGGUGAUGAAGGCCCUAGGGUUGUAAAGCCCUUUCGGCGGGGAAGAUAAUGACGGUACCGCAGAAGAAGCCCCGGCUAACUUCGUGCCAGCAGCCGC